UUGUCUAAGAUAAGCUGGCAGUCUACACCGCAUGGCCUGCGUUGCUGACAUUGAGUGAAGUUAAUGCAGAGUUCCUGUGCCUGACAGAUACUUGAGGAAGCAUCUUGGAGGUUCUCAAGGAGAAGGGAGGUGUUGCCAGAAGGAAGGACUAGAGUGGCGAAGUGAUCCAAAGGCAGACUGCACAUCUACGUGUAUGGUUUGCAAGGAACAUCCCGUGCCAGAGACUGUGAUACAAGGCAUGGAGCUGUACAGUGAACUCGGAGCAUCUCUUGUGCAUGUGUGAUGCUCUUUGGACUCGGUUACCGGUAUAUACCCUCAAUCUCAACUCUGUGGAUUUGGAUUUACAAUUUUAAGUAUCCAGAUGAACUGAAAUAUAUGUUCUGGUGAAUUUGGAAAAUAUGCCCAAAAGGUUCAAUCACUAUAAACUACAGUAAAUAUGUUGGACACUGGCAAUCUCAGGUUCUAAGACAUUGUAUAAAAGGACAAUCCAUCACAUUUCUAUGCAUACUUUUAUGUGCUGUUCUCUGA
Engraulis encrasicolus (European anchovy) is the source of this 528-nucleotide long non-coding RNA. RefSeq lists it as uncharacterized. The transcript has 3 exons. NCBI's taxonomy places the organism in Eukaryota, Metazoa, Chordata, Actinopteri, Clupeiformes, Engraulidae. The record is from RefSeq and is a predicted model, not a curated record.